RNAcentral lists this transfer RNA (72 nucleotides) under Candidatus Amesbacteria bacterium RIFCSPHIGHO2_01_FULL_48_32b. Its description in RNAcentral is "tRNA-Arg". It matches the Rfam family "tRNA". Rfam says of the family: Transfer RNA (tRNA) molecules are approximately 80 nucleotides in length. Their secondary structure includes four short double-helical elements and three loops (D, anti-codon, and T loops). The record is from RNAcentral. RNAcentral also lists the same sequence under 1 other name. Lineage: Bacteria; Candidatus Amesiibacteriota.
GCCCUUGUAGCUUAAUGGAUAAAGCUGCGGUCUUCGGAACCGCCGAUGGAGGUUCGAUUCCUCCCAGGGGCA